GCUGAUAAAGCCAAAUAAGAGGUAUUGAUCUUGUAAAUCAAAGAUUGAGUUUUCUCUAUCAGCU
RNAcentral lists this transfer RNA (64 nucleotides) under Thelepus plagiostoma. Its description in RNAcentral is "tRNA-Thr". The record is from RNAcentral. Lineage: Eukaryota; Metazoa; Annelida; Polychaeta; Terebellida; Terebellidae.